UACGGAGGGUGCAAGCGUUAUCCGGAUUUACUGGGUUUAAAGGGUGUGUAGGCGGACUUUUAAGUCAGCGGUGAAAUCUCCGGGCUCAACCCGGAAACUGCCAUUGAUACUAUUGGUCUUGAAUGUUGUUGAGGUGGGCGGAACGGGUCAUGUAGCGGUGAAAUGCGUAGAUAUGACCCGGAACACCGAUUGCGAAGGCAGCCCACUAAGCAAUGAUUGACGCUGAGGCACGAAAGCGUGGGGAUCAAACAGG
RNAcentral lists this ribosomal RNA (253 nucleotides) under uncultured bacterium. RNAcentral's name for it is "partial 16S ribosomal RNA". It matches the Rfam family "Bacterial small subunit ribosomal RNA", at positions 524 to 776 of the family's 1533-position model. The record is from RNAcentral.